This 118-nucleotide ribosomal RNA is filed under the name Sus scrofa (pig). The record is from RNAcentral. Lineage: Eukaryota; Metazoa; Chordata; Mammalia; Artiodactyla; Suidae.
AUUCCAUUGUGUACAACCCUGAACAUGCCCGAACUCAUCUGAUCUCGGAAGCUAAGUGGGGUUGGGCUUGGUUAGUACUUGGAUGGGAGACCUCUGAAAAUUUUGGACAAUAGGAAUC